AUUGAACGCUGGCGGCAUGCCUUACACAUGCAAGUCGAACGGUAACGGGCCUUCGGGUGCCGACGAGUGGCGAACGGGUGAGUAAUGCAUCGGAACGUACCUUUCAGUGGGGGAUAACGUAGCGAAAGUUACGCUAAUACCGCAUAUUCUGUGAGCAGGAAAGCAGGGGAUCGCAAGACCUUGCGCUGAUUGAGCGGCCGAUGUCAGAUUAGCUAGUUGGUGAGGUAAAGGCUCACCAAGGCGACGAUCUGUAGCGGGUCUGAGAGGAUGAUCCGCCACACUGGAACUGAGACACGGUCCAGACUCCUACGGGAGGCAGCAGUGGGAAUUUUGGACAAUGGGGGCAACCCUGAUCCAGCCAUGCCGCGUGAGUGAAGAAGGCCUCGGGUU
This 390-nucleotide ribosomal RNA is filed under the name uncultured bacterium. RNAcentral's name for it is "bacterial SSU rRNA". It matches the Rfam family "Bacterial small subunit ribosomal RNA", at positions 30 to 424 of the family's 1533-position model. The record is from RNAcentral.